RNAcentral lists this long non-coding RNA (630 nucleotides) under Setaria italica (foxtail millet). RNAcentral describes it as "long non-coding RNA (SITA_LNC004979)". Lineage: Eukaryota; Viridiplantae; Streptophyta; Magnoliopsida; Poales; Poaceae. The record is from RNAcentral.
UAGAAGGAAAUAAGCUGACCAACAGAAAUGCACUACAUAAUUUGUCUGCCAAAAUUACAGUAACACCACAUUGGUUGACGUAACUUUCUGACAGUGAUUAACAAGAAACAUAAUUCAUAUUAACAUGAAUCCAUGAAUUUACUAUAACACUGACCAAGUUCCAUCAUAAUUCAAAAUAUUUAUUACCAGAUAAAAACAACCAGAACUCUAUAAAUACUAGUAAAAAAUAUGGCUAAUUUACCACAUACUUUAUAUGUAAAAGUUCUGUACCACAAUAAUGAUUGACAUCAAAUACUGACUAUGAUUUAUGAGAAAGACUGAUAAGUAUUUUAACAUGAAUCCAUGGAUUUACUUUAACAUUCAGGUUCCAACAUAAUUGAAAAUUCAAUUUCAUGCAAUUUAGAACCCAAAGCCAGAUAAAUCAAUCACAACUGUAUAAACUGGUGAAAUCAACAUAGUUCAGAAAAGUAGUAAAUUUACUACGGUGCUGGGUCAAUGAAGGUCCAGUAAAUUAGGAGAAUUUGUACUAUGCUGCCUUUUAAUUUACUAUAAGAGUGAUCUAUCAUUGAAAAGUAUAUUUGGCUACAACAGGAACUCCCAAUGUUACACGAUACCUUGACAAAGAAGAGG